RNAcentral lists this ribosomal RNA (301 nucleotides) under uncultured bacterium. RNAcentral's name for it is "partial 16S ribosomal RNA". It matches the Rfam family "Bacterial small subunit ribosomal RNA", at positions 509 to 807 of the family's 1533-position model. The record is from RNAcentral.
CAGUAGCCGCGGGAACACGGAGGAUCCGAGCGUUAUCCGGAAUUAUUGGGUUUAAAGGGUGCGUAGGCGGAUAGAUAAGUCAGUGGUGAAAGACGGUGGCUCAACCAUCGCAGUGCCGUUGAUACUGUUUAUCUUGAAUAUGGAUGAGGUAGGCGGAAUGUGGCAAGUAGCGGUGAAAUGUAUAGAUAUGCCACAGAACACCGAUUGCGAAGGCAGCUUACCAAGGCAAAAUUGACGCUGAGGCACGAAAGCGUGGGGAUCGAACAGGAUUAGAUACCCGCGUAGUCCCUGUCUCUUAUAC